GUUGUAUGGUUAAGUGACUAAGCGUACAUGGUGGAUGCCUUGGCAGUCAGAGGCGAUGAAGGACGUACUAACCUGCGAUAAGCUGUGAGAAGUCGGUAAGAGACGCUAUUACUCACAGAUUUCCGAAUGGGGAAACCCACCCAGCACAAGCUGGGUAUCUAUUACUGAAUACAUAGGUAAUAGAGGCGAACCGGGAGAACUGAAACAUCUAAGUACCCCGAGGAAAAGAAAUCAACCGAGAUUCCCUCAGUAGCGGCGAGCGAACGGGGAUUAGCCCUUAAGUUUCUUGGAAGUUAGUGGAAUGGUCCUGGAAAGGCCAGCGAUACAGGGUGAUAGCCCCGUACAUGAAAACGACCUUGAAGUGAAAUCGAGUAGGGCGGGACACGUGACAUCCUGUCUGAAUAUGGGGGGACCAUCCUCCAAGGCUAAAUACUCCUGACUGACCGAUAGUGAACCAGUACCGUGAGGGAAAGGCGAAAAGAACCCCUGUGAGGGGAGUGAAAUAGAACCUGAAACCGUGUACGUACAAGCAGUGGGAGCCCUUCGGGGUGACUGCGUACCUUUUGUAUAAUGGGUCAGCGACUUACAUUUUGUAGCGAGGUUAACCGUAUAGGGGAGCCGUAGGGAAACCGAGUCUUAACUGGGCGUCUAGUUGCAAGGUGUAGACCCGAAACCGGGUGAUCUAGCCAUGGGCAGGUUGAAGGUUGAGUAACAUCAACUGGAGGACCGAACCCACUAACGUUGCAAAGUUAGGGGAUGACCUGUGGCUGGGGGUGAAAGGCCAAUCAAACUCGGAGAUAGCUGGUUCUCCCCGAAAGCUAUUUAGGUAGCGCCUCGGACGAAUACUACUGGGGGUAGAGCACUGUUUGGACUAGGGGGUCAUCCCGACUUACCAACUCCAUGCAAACUCCGAAUACCAGUAAGUAAUAUCCGGGAGACACACGGCGGGUGCUAACGUCCGUCGUGAAGAGGGAAACAACCCAGACCGCCGGCUAAGGUCCCAAAGUUCUGGUUAAGUGGGAAACGAUGUGGGAAGGCUCAGACAGCUAGGAUGUUGGCUUAGAAGCAGCCAUCAUUUAAAGAAAGCGUAAUAGCUCACUAGUCGAGUCGGCCUGCGCGGAAGAUGUAACGGGGCUCAAACCAGGCACCGAAGCCGCGGAUUCACACUUAUGUGUGAGUGGUAGGGGAGCGUUCUGUAAGUCUGCGAAGGUGUAUCGAGAGGUAUGCUGGAGAUAUCAGAAGUGCGAAUGCUGACGUAAGUAACGAUAAAGGGGGUGAAAAGCCUCCUCGCCGGAAGACCAAGGGUUCCUGUCCAACGUUAAUCGGGGCAGGGUGAGUCGACCCCUAAGGUGAGGCCGAAAGGCGUAAUCGAUGGGAAGCAGGUUAAUAUUCCUGCACGACUUGUAAUUGCGAUGGGGGGACGGAGAAGGCUAGGUGGGCCAGGCGACGGUUGUCCUGGUGAAAGUGCGUAGGUGGUGUUUCUAGGCAAAUCCGGAGACACAACACUGAGACACGAGACGAA
This 1522-nucleotide ribosomal RNA is filed under the name Aeromonas salmonicida. RNAcentral describes it as "bacterial LSU rRNA". It matches the Rfam family "Bacterial large subunit ribosomal RNA", at positions 1 to 1572 of the family's 2925-position model. Lineage: Bacteria; Pseudomonadati; Pseudomonadota; Gammaproteobacteria; Aeromonadales; Aeromonadaceae. The record is from RNAcentral.